CUGCUCCUUCCAGUUUCCCCGAGCAGGAUUAAUGGGGAUGACAGAUAAUGUGAAUAACUUGUUUACCACGGAGAGAGACACCCGUAAAAUUAACCCUAUGUUGUGAUAACAUCAUGAGCCAAACUCACUGGGCAAGCUUGGCAGCACACGUGGUGGGAAAAGAAAAGGACCCGUAACCAGCAUUACCUUCACACUAUGAUGUUAACAAUAAUGGAAGAGAUGAAAGAAAACUGGCAGGAGCCUAUAGGUGAGCAAGGAGAGGGAAUUUGACAACAAAGCGUAAGUGAUUUGCUAACCUGUUUUCAAAUGGAUUUAAAUAAGAUGAGAUUGUGUGACUCAAAGUCUGUUAUUUUCAGCAAGCCUGAGCCACUGCAGGAUCCCCUUGCAGCGUGGUCAAACCUGACUGAGAGAAUGUGGUGGGGGGUGGGGACUGCAGAAACUAAGGGGAGAAGACCAUAGCACAGGGAUGGCACUCCUUUCCAUGUCCUUUAUCCCACAGGCUCAAUAAGCAUAGUGCCUAGGGGCUAUGAGCUUCUCAGUGGCCUAAGAAACCAUCUGAGACUUGGGUCUAUCUGAGACUGAGACUUGAGAUUAAGAAACUAUCUGAGAUGUUUCAAAAUACCUAAAGAAAAUUGCAGAUUUAAAAUUUUUAAAUGCUCAGUUAGCAUUUAGGCACACUUUCCCCCUCUUUGGUGACAUUCCUACCCCCAGCUCAGAGUUCCCCGACCUUCAGCCCAUUAUGCCCUCUUCCAAAUUACAAAGCCAACAGCAGAAGAGAGCAAGUGAGAGACAGCAGGGGCAGGGGACCUGCCUGCUCCACAAUGGGUGCCCACAUCUUGAUCUUCAUCCAAGGGGAAGAAUCAAGUCAGCUCUAGAAAGGGAAAAAAAUGAUUAAAGCCCUAACCUCAGGUUCAGAGACCUAGUUUCUGGAUCCCUUCUUUAUUCCUCCAAUUGUUCCAUGGAAUUAACACAAUGUAGUUUCAUAUCUAGGAAAGAUUAUGAAAAUGUCUGAGUUCCCUGAAAUUGGGCCAGAGGUCCCAUCCAGCCGAGACUUUCGGAGCACAAAUUUUGCUACAAUGGAAAGAACACUGGUCUGGGUGUCGGAAGACCCAAGUAUAAUCCAGGCUUUGUCAUGAUCUCAGUACAUGACCUCAGACAAGUUACAAUCUUUAUUCUUCUCUUUCCUCUUCUGUAAAAUGAAGAGAGUUGACUGAACGAGCACUGAAGUUUAUUUAAUUUCUAUGAUCACUUAAACUCUUAAGUAGCUAGACAAAUAAAGGAAGAAAGGAACCAUGUUAGACUUACUGAGACAUCUUCCUUCAUGUGCCAUAGACCAAAGAAUAUAGUAAAAAGCAUCUCUGUCCCAAAAACCAUGCUCAGUCUCCAAGCUAUGCAGCCUGUGAUUAGUAGAACCUAUUUUGCUGUAAUUGAGCAGAGUAGUUCUAGGAAAAAAUUAUACUGAAUUUCACUAAAUGCGCAUUCAUUUGGUUAACCAGACCACUAGGACUGACAUACUGUACCAAUUACAUAAUGUGAGUACCUUCAACAUCCUUCCAUUUUUGGUGAAUUGGCUCUUUAGCCAUCAGUCUAGAGCAGACUAUAAUUUACUUUCUUUGUGGUUGUGGCAAACAUGUCUAAAUUAGUUAAAUUACUUUAAUAUGUGGUUUCUUUAAGGAUCAAAAAUUCUUGACUACUCCUUCCAAGGAAACAUCAAUCCACAACAUGUGGAAUAAAUCUCCAUUUUCAUUUCUUUGUUUCAUUUUCGGUUCUUUCAAAUGACUUCAUUUUUGUUGUUGUUGCUAAAUCAACUUAAAUUUUGGAUCUGAAUAAACACUCUGAUAUUUGUGUUAAUCUUUUGACCAAAUACUUUCCUUCAUUUUGCACCCCACCACUAGGCAAUAUAAUUGUGCUCAACUACAAAUUGAUGGAUGGUGAGCUCGUCAUUCUGUCCACUGCAAGACAAAUGACUUCCUUGCCUAAAUAACCUCUCAUGGAAUAAUAUUCUGACCUCCUCUCAUUCUCUGUCCUUCUCAGAGGAGGCUAGUACAAGUCAUGCUGCUGAUCCACGUGAAUGUAAUUUGAGCAGUUUGAAAAAUAUGCAAACACAUUAUUAGCAACAUGUUUAAACAGCACCCUUCCCUUAGGUGUUCAUAAUGCUUUAAAGUUAUGCUAUAAUUACUCCUUCUAGCAUCACUCUAAAAGGUAUACAGCACAGCAAGAAUUAUAUUUGUCAAAGAACAUGAUAGUUAUGAAUAAAUGAAAAUUAUUUUCCUUGUCUCACACAUCAUUUUUAUUUAUUUAUGGGAUCUAUGUAUCCCUUAUCUCUUUCAAAAAGGAUUUGAGGCAACUUACAAGCUAAUAUGUAUAGCAUAACUCUAAUAAAAUAGGACUAAAACUAGGAUGUAGGUAGGAAAGAAAUCCCAAAACAAGACAAGAAGACUUAAAGAAAAAUGUAACGGGUUUGAUUACUCAGAAAUCUAGAAGUUCUAUGUUGCAAAGGUCAAGCAGCAGAAAAACAGAUAAGGGGCUAAUACGUAUGAUAUGAACUGUAUAAAAAUGCUUAAAAAUCAAUAAAAGACCAACCACUCAAGUGUAUAUUUUGUGCAAAGAACAUGAUGAUUAGGCCCAGAAGAAAAAAUACAAAUAAUCAAAAGUAUUAUGAAAAAAAAUUCUUAAACUCUAAUUCCUACAGAAGGAAUUAUAAAUUAAAAGAAGAUAAGUUUGCACCCAACUCAAUGACAAAAAAAACAAAAGAGUUAUAACAUACAGUAUUAUAUGGCCAUUUUGGUUGUUUUAAUUUUUACCAGUGCAACUAAUGCUGCAGUGAAUAUCCUGGUACAUACGCAUUUUAGCAAAUACACAAAUAUUUUUAUAAGAUAGGUUCCUAGAAGCAAAAGUUGAGUUAAAAUUUAUAUGCAUUUUUAAAAAUGAAAGAGUGAUGUCAGCAUCAUGGCAGAGUGAGCUUUCCUGGUAACCUCUCCCCUUCACCAUGCAACGAAAAAGACAUUCAUACUCCAACAGAGGACAUCCAAACACAACACAAAAGAUGACUGAGAGACCCACGCAGCCAUAUGAUGGAGGGCAGGGAGGCUGGAGCCCUCCUUGGAGGAGGUGGCUGGGUAAGAGAAAACUUCACUCCCUCCCCAAAAGACUUGGAUCUGGGACCAUGGGUGGCCUCCAAGAGGGAAGGAAUGAGGGAGGGAAUGUUCAUUUGUGGGAACAUCAAAGAUUCCCGAGGGUCCUCACAGCCUAGGGGAAAGCCCCUACUGAAGUGAAAGCUAAUGCAGGGGUAACCUCAUCAAGCCAACACCCCAGGAGAGCAGAUAGUGAGGGCAGAGCAAGAAAACCCCAAGAGCAUGUGGAAGAAAGUGGCCCUCCCCCUUACCCACCCAGUACCAACUCCAGUGCUUGGGAUCUCCAGCAAACACAGAGGGCUCAGAAUACAUGGCUCUUGACCCCUACCCUGUGGUGAGAGGCAUUAACUGUGAACAAAUAAUACCGCGAUGUGCAAAAACACAGCCAUGCCCUCUAGCAGUAUCAAAAAUUAUAUUAAAUCUCUAGACCAGAGAGAAAAUGACAAGUACCCAGAAAUCAAUCCUGAGGACACAGAAGUAUGUAACCUAAAUGACAGAGAAUUCAAAAAUAGCUACUAACAAAAAUUCAAUGAGUUAAAAGAGAAUGUCGAGAGGGGCUGGCCCCGUGGCCGAGUGGUUAAGUUCACGCGCUCCGCUGCAGACGGCCCAGUGUUUUGUUAGUUCAAAUCCUGGGCGCGGACAUGGCACUGCUCAUCAGACCACGCUGAGGCAGCGUCCCACAUGCCACAACUAGAAGAACCCACAACGAAGAAUACACAACUAUGUACCGGGGGACUUUGGGGAGAAAAAGGAAAAAAUAAAAUCUUUAAAAAAAAAAAAAAAAGAGAAUGUCGAGAAACAAUUCAACGAGUUCAGGAGCUACUUCACAAAAGAGAUUGAAACUAUAAAGAAGAAUCAAUCAGAAAUAUUGGAGAUGAAAGACACAAUGGAAGAGAGAAAACAAAAUAUGGAUUCCCUGAAUGCUCAAGCAGACAUUGUAGAGGAGUGAAUUAGCAUAAUCAAGGAUAGACAUGCUGAAAUGCUCCAGAUAGAGAAGGAGAGAGAACUAAGACUAAAAAGAAAUGAAGAAAGUCUCCAAGAAAUAUCUGACUCUAUUAGGAAAUGCAACAUAAGAAUUACAGGUAUUCAAGAGGAAGAAGAGAAGGAGAAUGGAGCAGAAAGCUUGUUCAAAGAAAUAAUGGAAGAGAACUUCCAAACCUAGGGAAGGAGAUGGAAAUCCAUGUGGAAAGAGGCUAUCCUAAAUAUGUCAAUGCAAAAAGAUCUACUGCAAGGCAUAUAGUAGCGAAACCAGCAAAAGUGAAUGACAAAGAAAAAAUACUAAGGACAGCACGGCAGAAGAAAAUAAUCUACCAAGGAACCCCUAUCAGGCUUUCAGUGAACUUCUCUGCAGAAACCUUACAGGCUAGGAGAGACUGGACAUAUUCAAAUCUUUGAAGGACAAAAACUUUCAGCCAAGAAUACUCUAUCUAGUGAAAAUAUCCUUCAGAUAUGAUGGAGAAAUAAAAACUUUCCCAGAUAAAACAAAAGCUAAGGGAGUUUGUAGCCACAAGAGCCCUUCUACAAGAAAUCCUCAAGAAGGCCCUCAUACCUGAAAAAAAAAAAAAGAAGAAAGGGGUUACAAAGCAUGGAGUAAGGAGAUAAAUAUGUAGACAAAAUCAGAAAAUUGUAGCUGUAUAUCAGAACAGGAUAGCAAAUACUCAAGAAUAGCAUUAAAGAUAAAGGGAAGAAAAACACCAAAAACAAAGAUAAUCUUGUCAUUUUAAUCACAAACUCACAACACAAGAUAGAAUAAGAUGUGAGAAAAACAACUCAGGUGGGGAAGAGGAAAGGGACUGAAUAGGUUUAGUCUAAGGAAAUAAGAGGCCAUCAGAAAAUGGACUAUCUUAUCUACGAGAUUUUGAAUACAAACCUCGUAGUAACCACUAAACAAAAAAGCCGAACAGAGACACAAAUAAUAAAAAAGGAGAAAACAAAGAAACACAACAUUAAAAACUACAUAACUCAAUUUGUAGACCAAAAGACAGGGCGAGAAACAAAGGAAAUGGAGGAGAAUCGGAAAACAAGUGAUAAAAUAGCAGCAUUAAACCCUCAUAUAUCAAUAAUCACCCUAAUGUAAAUGGAUUGAAUUCUCCAAUAAAAAGACACAGAGUGGUGAGAUGCAUUAAAGAACAAGACCCAACAAUACGCUGCCUCCAGGAAACACAUCUCAGAUCCAAUGACAAACAGGCUUAAAAUGAAGGAAUGGAAGAUGAUACUCCAAGCUAAUGGCAAACAAAAGAAAGCAGGUGUUGCAGUACUUAUAUCAGACAAAGUAGACUUCAAGAUAAGACAAGUCAAGGAGACAAAGAGGGGCAGUAUAUAAAGAUCAAAAGGACACUCCACCAAGAAGACAUAACACUUAUAAAUAUCUAUGCACCCAACACAGGAGCACCAAAGUACAUAAAGCAACUAUUAACAAACCUAAAAGAAGAUAUUUUUAAUAACACAAUAAUAGUAGGGGACCUCAACACUCCAGUCACAUCAAUGGAUAGAUCAUCCAGAAGAAAAUCAACAAGGAAACAGUGGAAUUAAGUGAAAAGCUAGACCAGUUGGACUUAAUAAACAUAUAUAGAACACUCCAUCCAAAAACAAAAGAAUACACAUUCUUCUCAAGUGUGCACAGAACAUUCUUAAGGAUAGACCAUAUGUUGGGAAACAAUGCAAGCCUCAAUAAAUUUAAGAACGUUGCAAUAAUAACAAGUAUCUUUUCCGAUCACAAUGCUAUGAAGCUAGAAAUUAAUUACAAGAAAAAAGCAGAGAAAGGGACAAAGAUGUGGAAACUCAACAACAUGCUAGUGAACAAACAAUGGAUCGUUGAAGAAAUUAAAGGGAGAAAUCAGAAAAAUAUCUGGAGAUACAAGAAUAUGAAAACAUACCUUACCAACUCAUAUGGGAUGCAGCAAAAGCCAUAUGAAUAGGGAAAUUCAUUGCAAUACAGGCUCACCUUAACAAACAAGAAAAAUCCCAAAUAAGCAAUCUCAAACUACACCUAAUUGAAUUAUGAAAAGAAGAAUAAACAAAGCCCAAAGUCCACAGAAG
This 6173-nucleotide long non-coding RNA is filed under the name Equus caballus (horse). RNAcentral describes it as "lncRNA (ENSECAG00000056929.1)". Lineage: Eukaryota; Metazoa; Chordata; Mammalia; Perissodactyla; Equidae. The record is from RNAcentral.